Molecule: long non-coding RNA, 168 nt
Organism: Oncorhynchus masou masou (cherry salmon)
Lineage: Eukaryota; Metazoa; Chordata; Actinopteri; Salmoniformes; Salmonidae
Exons: 3
Source: RefSeq, a predicted model, not a curated record
CGACAUGUCACGUGACCAUCGUGCUCCUCCCUCCGUUAUGACCACAAUUAGCAGCCAGGUCAGUACUUGUCUAGCCUGCCAGAGGUUUAAGAGGGUGAAGACUGGCGCUGGAGUUGAAGCCCAUCAAAAUUGUUUCACCAUGGCACAUGAUCAGCUGGGCACCUGGCA